CACAUGCAAGUCGAGCGGAUGACGGGAGCUUGCUCCUUGAUUCAGCGGCGGACGGGUGAGUAAUGCCUAGGAAUCUGCCUGGUAGUGGGGGACAACGUUUCGAAAGGAACGCUAAUACCGCAUACGUCCUACGGGAGAAAGCAGGGGACCUUCGGGCCUUGCGCUAUCAGAUGAGCCUAGGUCGGAUUAGCUAGUUGGUGGGGUAAUGGCUCACCAAGGCGACGAUCCGUAACUGGUCUGAGAGGAUGAUCAGUCACACUGGAACUGAGACACGGUCCAGACUCCUACGGGAGGCAGCAGUGGGGAAUAUUGGACAAUGGGCGAAAGCCUGAUCCAGCCAUGCCGCGUGUGUGAAGAAGGUCUUCGGAUUGUAAAGCACUUUAAGUUGGGAGGAAGGGCAGUAAGUUAAUACCUUGCUGUUUUGACGUUACCGACAGAAUAAGCACCGGCUAACUCUGUGCCAGCAGCCGCGGUAAUACAGAGGGUGCAAGCGUUAAUCGGAAUUACUGGGCGUAAAGCGCGCGUAGGUGGUUUGUUAAGUUGGAUGUGAAAGCCCCGGGCUCAACCUGGGAACUGCAUCCAAAACUGGCAAGCUAGAGUACGGUAGAGGGUGGUGGAAUUUCCUGUGUAGCGGUGAAAUGCGUAGAUAUAGGAAGGAACACCAGUGGCGAAGG
This 674-nucleotide ribosomal RNA is filed under the name Pseudomonas sp. H757. RNAcentral's name for it is "bacterial SSU rRNA". It matches the Rfam family "Bacterial small subunit ribosomal RNA", at positions 52 to 721 of the family's 1533-position model. The record is from RNAcentral. Lineage: Bacteria; Pseudomonadati; Pseudomonadota; Gammaproteobacteria; Pseudomonadales; Pseudomonadaceae.